This 528-nucleotide ribosomal RNA is filed under the name Anastrepha pastranai. RNAcentral's name for it is "partial small subunit ribosomal RNA". It matches the Rfam family "Bacterial large subunit ribosomal RNA", at positions 1813 to 2605 of the family's 2925-position model. Lineage: Eukaryota; Metazoa; Arthropoda; Insecta; Diptera; Tephritidae. The record is from RNAcentral.
AAACAUGUCUUUUUGAAAUAUAUUUAAAGUCUGACCUGCCCACUGAAUUAUUUUAAAUGGCCGCAGUAUUUUGACUGUGCAAAGGUAGCAUAAUCAUUAGUCUUUUAAUUGAAGGCUGGUAUGAACGGUUGGACGAAGUAUAAGCUGUUUCAUAUAAAUUUUUAAUAGAAUUUUAUAUUUUAGUUAAAAAGCUAAAAUUUUAUUAAAAGACGAGAAGACCCUAUAAAUCUUUAUAUUUAGGAUUUAACUAAAUUUUUUUGAUUAAGUUUAUUUUUUUAAUACUAAUUAUUUUGUUGGGGUGAUAUUAAAAUUUAAUGAACUUUUAAUUUUUUAAAAUCAUUAAUUUAUGAAUUAUUGAUCCAUUAAUAAUGAUUAUAAGAUUAAGUUACUUUAGGGAUAACAGCGUAAUUUUUUUUGAGAGUUCAUAUCGACAAAAAAGUUUGCGACCUCGAUGUUGGAUUAAGGUAUAAUUUUGGGUGUAGCCGUUCAAAAAUUAAGUCUGUUCGACUUUUAAAUCCUUACAUGAUC